AAACAAAAUAUUAAAUAUAAACUGGACAAUAUAUAUUUAUUCAUUUGUGUUUUGGGAGGUUUUGUUCAAAGCAAUAGUCAAAAAUCAGAUGAUCUGUCCAUAAAUAAUUAUGUCUCUCCAUUUUUCAGAGGUCCCAUACCCAU
Molecule: long non-coding RNA, 143 nt
Organism: Octodon degus (degu)
Lineage: Eukaryota; Metazoa; Chordata; Mammalia; Rodentia; Octodontidae
Exons: 3
Source: RefSeq, a predicted model, not a curated record